Molecule: non-coding RNA, 110 nt
Organism: Acanthosepion pharaonis
Lineage: Eukaryota; Metazoa; Mollusca; Cephalopoda; Sepiida; Sepiidae
Source: the annotation of a GenBank genome assembly
UACGACUAAAUCACCUUGAAACACCGGUUCCCGUACAAUCAGCGACGUUAAGCAACGUCGAGCUUAUUCAGUACCUAGAUGGGUGACCGCUUGGAAAUACUAUGUGCUAU